Cyprinus carpio carpio is the source of this 1477-nucleotide long non-coding RNA. Lineage: Eukaryota; Metazoa; Chordata; Actinopteri; Cypriniformes; Cyprinidae. The record is from Ensembl.
CUUUUUGGAAGUAAAUAUGACAUUUUAAAUAUCUGUACUUUCAUGCCACAUGUGUUUAACAGUUUCUAUUUUCCACAUUUAAGCAUUUUUGAACACGAUUUUUAGAUUUCAGAUACACUUUAAUCAUUAAAUCAAUAAAAAAUAAUUACAAACACUUUAAUCAUUAAAAAUGCACUCAAACCUCUGUUUAAGCUUGUACUUGUUUGGAUUCACAUGUACAUAUAUACAUACACAAACGCAAAAAUUGGCACGGGUUCAGGUGGCCUAUGCCCCCAAGUCCUCGUGCAGUUUAUUGAGUCCCAUGGUGAGUUGAUACUCUGCUAGUGUUUGGUCAUCAGUCACCACCCACAUUGUGUCCACCGAGUGUCUGUGUCUCAUCUCUAGCUGGACACACACCACCUCCACCCACAGACCAUGUGUGUUUUUGUGAACGUGUGUGUCUUUGUAUGUCCACAUGCUGCAAAAAAAGAGGAUUAAUCUACGAUAUGCUGUUUCUUUGUACCAUCAAAAACAAAGCAUUGCACAAGCAACCAUUUCGUUUGUCAUAUUGUUAAGUGUAAAAUCAGUUGAGACCCAUAAUAAUAAGUCUUGAUUCUCCCUUAAGCCAACAGUGUUUGCAAUUUACCCCAGCAUUUCAAAGCCAAACGAAAGUGGUAGGGCAUAUCUUUGUGUUCUCAAGGAUGAAUAUCCCAAGUCUGGGCCUAUCUGAAAUGUGCAGCGCCCAGCAUGUUUGAAAAAAAUAAAUGCAGGCACAGAACUCAGUUGUAAGUCUCUGUUCCUCCAAAUCAACAUACGUAUCACGUUGCCAUGCGCAUCCAUGUACAAAAAAAAAAAAAACACAUAAAGGGAAAAAAAGUUAAAAAGUAAAGGAGCAAAACUGAGCUGCAGCUCAAACCGCUGAUAAAAGUGCACCGUGUGCUAAUCCACGACCCACAGAAACAGAUACACUACAGGGCAUUGUAUGCUAAUGCAGCCUCAAAAUGCAAAUAAAACUAAACUGAGUGUAUACAUGUACAUGCUCAAUAGGGAUUAUUCACUGUUCGUGGUGAUAACGGGCAUUUGAAUAAUAAUCACUGAAGGUUCAUAUAUCAUGUUGUUUAUAUAUUACUUCCUCUACGCCAGAAGUCCAAUGAGAAUGUGUCCACUAAGGUUUUGUUGGCAUACAUUACCAGUUAGCCACGGUUUCAUUUCGAUAAAGGAAAUUUUUAGGUAUAUGUGAUUCCAUGAAAUGAAAUAAAUGACAUGAAUAUGGUAUUAGUACAGGGCACACUGUAGGUUGCUGUAUCUGAUCCCUGAGCCUGUGUUUCCCAUCAGGCCUACAGGAGAGAAAUAUACAAGAUGUGAUUGAAAACACCUGUCAGUCAAGCCAUUCCCCAGCACCCUGGAGUUCUGCGUGAGAAAUGCCGAUUGCAUGACUGAAAUGAGCACAAGGAUUUUAUCCGGCCAAUUGGGAAAAAACUGAGACUAAUUCAUCUGA